AUUUUCGAUGAUGAUGGAAGGAAAGAAGAGUCAUGGUCUUAUUCUUACUGAGUACCUUUUGAUUUUGAAUUCAACCUUCAACACACAACAAAAGACUCAUUCUUUCAGCUGACCCUACUACUGUACUACUAAUCAAGUUUAUUAGUAUUAAUUAUGGUUAACACGGCUCUAUCAUCUAACACAGUCCACAUCCACCAACCACUAUCCGAGUCCAAAAUGUCGAAAAACGUCGGUAAUGUCGGGUUUCAGUGCGACUGAUACAUGCAGUGAUAUUGAUAUUUGUCCAUGACAGUCUAACUUAACAGAUGAAAGAUUGAUCACCUAUAAUGGACCAAGAAUAUGUCAAAGGACAAGUAAACCAUGUCUACAGUACUGUUGUUUCAUUCACACAUUAUGUAUGAGUUUCCACUUUCUAAAAUCAUUAAAACUUUUUUUAGUUUGAUAGAUUAAUAUUAUAUAUCAUUAGGAAUCUGAAUUGAGGGAUUAGUUCUAAAUUUCUAAUAUAUGUAAGGACAUCUACAGCUAAGACUGACCACAUUGUUAUUUGCUUAUCUAUUAUUAAUAAAGUAGGUUUUGGAUCAACUUCUCUUCCAUAACCUCAUGUACAAUUUAUUCAUAGUGCUAACUGCUAAGCUAAGUUAUAUUCCUCAA
RNAcentral lists this long non-coding RNA (651 nucleotides) under Aquilegia coerulea. RNAcentral describes it as "long non-coding RNA (ACOE_LNC000453)". The record is from RNAcentral. Lineage: Eukaryota; Viridiplantae; Streptophyta; Magnoliopsida; Ranunculales; Ranunculaceae.